GGACCCGCACAACCUGUGGAGCGUGUGGUUUAAUUCGAUACAAAGCGAAAAACCUUACCAGGGUUUGACAUCAUACCGUUUUAUACUUUUGGAAACAUUAGUAGAUCCGUAAGGAUGGUAUGACAGGUGCUGCAUGGCUGUCGUCAGCUCGUGCCGUGAGGUGUUCCCUUAAGUGGGGAAACGAGCGCAACCCCCAUGAAAUGUUAAAUAUUCAUUUCAGACUGCCCUGUUUUUACAGGGAGGAAGGAGGGGCAGAUGUCAAGUCAGCAUGGCCCUUAUACCCUGGGUUACACACACACUACAAUGGCGAAAAACAACGAGUUGCAAGCUGGUAACAGCAAGCUAAUCUCUCAAAUUUCGCCUCAGUUCAGAUUGAGGUCUGCAACCCGACCUCAUGAAGUCGGAAUAGGUAGUAAUCGCGGAUCAGCAUGCCGCGGUGAAUACGUUCUCGGGUCUU
RNAcentral lists this ribosomal RNA (457 nucleotides) under uncultured bacterium. Its description in RNAcentral is "bacterial SSU rRNA". It matches the Rfam family "Bacterial small subunit ribosomal RNA", at positions 917 to 1382 of the family's 1533-position model. The record is from RNAcentral.